This is a non-coding RNA of Electrophorus electricus (electric eel), 762 nucleotides long. NCBI's taxonomy places the organism in Eukaryota, Metazoa, Chordata, Actinopteri, Gymnotiformes, Gymnotidae. The record is from RefSeq and is a predicted model, not a curated record.
UACAGCUCUGGUAUUUAAAUUGUGUAUGUGUGCAACAGCAGUUAUCUUUUUGAUAAACUCCAUAACACUAUCAGCAGAGCUGAUCCUGUCAGCACGAAAUGGUAAACGAACAAUGGAAGAUCUCCAAGUGGUUAUCCUUCCAUUUGAAUGGGUCUUUGCCAUUGGCUAUAUUAUUGCAAUCUUUGUACUGGAGUUAUCAAAACAAAAAGCCAAAAAAGUUCAUAAAGAAGAAAAUGAAGAAGAGCUAAAUGCAAUACAACUGAACCGUGUAGAGGACUCAAUACCACAGGAUCCUGCAGAGGGUGGUCACAUGACAGAUUCAUGACCUGCAGAAAAGCCUUCCCCUGGAAUGAAUGUCUGCGUUGCCAUGGAGAGAGGGGUCAAGUACGUUAUGAGAAGCUUGAAGAUGAGAUGGCCUGCUUCCACCACUGGAGGCAUUAGCCCUAGUCCGCAUGCACAGGGUAUUUUUUAAAUGGAGGUUUUCCUCCUUGAAGUGGAGUUUCUCCUCAGUCUCACACUAGAACAGAAUAACUGUAUAUUUAUGUCUAAAUUUGUAACAAGUCCUGUUACCAAUGUUAAAACCAGUGCUAUUUUGGCUACAUCCACCAUUGCAAAAAGGAUAACAGCACACACUCUUUAUGAAGCCAAAAAUUUAUUUUCCCUGUCUACAUGACAACACUGUAAACUGAGUUUCUGAAUAUCUUUAUCAUGGAAGGAGCUAUGCAGUCUUUGCAAGUAGAGAAAAGCCAAAACACAUAGAAA